RNAcentral lists this unclassified non-coding RNA (190 nucleotides) under uncultured fungus. Its description in RNAcentral is "sequence contains ITS1". Lineage: Eukaryota; Fungi. The record is from RNAcentral.
UUAACUAUUUAAUAGUACUCGGACGACAUUAAUAUAUAGAAUUUGGGUCUCUGGCGGGCACGUACCCAGGGGUAGCGAGGGGGCUCGCGGCCCGCCAAAGCAACAAAGUGUGAGAUACCACGGGUGGGAGAUCUACCCGGUAAGGGGCAUGAACUCUGUAAUGAUCCCUCCGCAGGUUCACCUACGGAGA